AUGAAUUAUGCUUAUGGAGAUGAACUUGCUAUAGUUCCUUAUGUUAAACAUGAAAUUUUUGCUAUUGCACCCAUGCAUGAUAGUCCUAUUAUCUUUUUGAAUUCUCCAAACAACACUAUAUCGAAGAAGUUUGUGCUUAUUAAGGAUUAUAUUGAUGGGUUGCCUUUUAUCAUUGCACAUGAUGAUUUUGAUAGAUGUAAUAUGCAUGUGCUUUCUGCUCCUACUUGCAAUUAUUAUGAGAGAGGAACUAUAUCUUCACCUCUCUAUGUUUCCAAUAUGAUGAAAUUGCAAGAAAGUACUUAUACUAUGCAUUGGCCUUUACUUGGAAGAUUGCUCGAAGCAUCUUACCUCGAUAGAGUCGACGGGUGCGUGUUUAUAUAG
Molecule: ribosomal RNA, 381 nt
Filed under: Triticum aestivum (bread wheat)
Lineage: Eukaryota; Viridiplantae; Streptophyta; Magnoliopsida; Poales; Poaceae
Description: partial small subunit ribosomal RNA
Source: RNAcentral